GAAACUAACAAGGAUUCCCCUAGUAGCGGCGAGCGAAGCGGGAAGAGCUCAAAUUUAUAAUCUGGCACCUUCGGUGUCCGAGUUGUAAUCUCUAGAAGUGUUUUCCGCGUUGGACCGCACACAAGUCUGUUGGAAUACAGCGGCAUAGUGGUGAAACCCCCGUAUAUGGUGCGGACGCCCAGCGCUUUGUGAUACACUUUCAAUGAGUCGAGUUGUUUGGGAAUGCAGCUCAAAUUGGGUGGUAAAUUCCAUCUAAAGCUAAAUAUUGGCGAGAGACCGAUAGCGAACAAGUACCGUGAGGGAAAGAUGAAAAGCACUUUGGAAAGAGAGUUAACAGUACGUGAAAUUGUUGGAAGGGAAACGCUUGAAGUCAGACUUGCUUGCCGGAGCUUGCUUCGGUUUGCAGGCCAGCAUCAGUUUUCCGGGGUGGAUAAUGACGGUUUGAAGGUAGCAGUCUCGGCUGUGUUAUAGCUUUCCGUUGGAUACAUCCUGGGGGACUGAGGAACGCAGCGUGCUUUUU
RNAcentral lists this ribosomal RNA (520 nucleotides) under Rhodotorula glutinis. RNAcentral's name for it is "eukaryotic LSU rRNA". It matches the Rfam family "Eukaryotic large subunit ribosomal RNA", at positions 61 to 584 of the family's 3401-position model. The record is from RNAcentral. Lineage: Eukaryota; Fungi; Basidiomycota; Microbotryomycetes; Sporidiobolales; Sporidiobolaceae.